This 457-nucleotide unclassified non-coding RNA is filed under the name Melitaea cinxia (Glanville fritillary). RNAcentral describes it as "misc RNA ENSMCXG00005008816.1". Lineage: Eukaryota; Metazoa; Arthropoda; Insecta; Lepidoptera; Nymphalidae. The record is from RNAcentral.
AUUCCCUCGAGUUUUUAUGGGCUCCAACAUCAAACCUGAUCCUGCGACACAGAUGAUCACACAGCGGGUAAUUGCUAUAAAUCGUUGAAAAGUUCCCUCGACUAUCUUUCGUCUCCAUCAUCAGACUUUAAUGGCACUUGUAACUCAUAUAGGUGCAAAGUUCUCAUCAAUAGAAACGAAUUAAGUUCAAACAGCAGGUAAUUGCUAUAAAUUGUUGAAGAGUUCCCUCGAUUAUCUUUCUUCUCCAUCAUCAGAUCGACUCCAGACCUUUAUCAAAUAGUAGUGCUUUAUAGUACUUAAUGAAAACAUGAUUAAAUUUACUAGUCACCCUUACGAUUUUUGAAAGUUUCCCUCUAUUUCUCUGGGAUCCCAUCAUCAGAUCCUGGUUUCCUUAUCAUGGUACCAAACUAUGGAUAUCUCCUUUCCAACAAAAAAAGAAUUAUCAAAAUCGGUUCAU